Molecule: ribosomal RNA, 445 nt
Filed under: uncultured bacterium
Lineage: Bacteria
Description: bacterial SSU rRNA
Rfam family: Bacterial small subunit ribosomal RNA
Source: RNAcentral
GUAAGGAAUAUUGGACAAUGGACGCAAGUCUGAUCCAGCCAUGCCGCGUGAAGGAUUAAGGUCCUCUGGAUUGUAAACUUCUUUUAUAAGGGACGAAAAAAGGCUUUUCUAAGUCGUCUGACGGUACCUUAUGAAUAAGCACCGGCUAACUCCGUGCCAGCAGCCGCGGUAAUACGGAGGGUGCAAGCGUUAUCCGGAUUCACUGGGUGUAAAGGGUGCGUAGGCGGGCAGGUAAGUCAGUGGUGAAAUCCUAGAGCUUAACUCUAGAACUGCCAUUGAUACUAUCUGUCUUGAAUAUUGUGGAGGUAAGCGGAAUAUGUCAUGUAGCGGUGAAAUGCUUAGAUAUGACAUAGAACACCUAUUGCGAAGGCAGCUUACUACGCAUAUAUUGACGCUGAGGCACGAAAGCGUGGGGAUCAAACAGGAUUAGAUACCCCGGUAGUCC